CACGGAGGAUCCGAGCGUUAUCCGGAUUUAUUGGGUUUAAAGGGUGCGCAGGCGGGAGAUUAAGUCGGCGGUGAAAUUUUGCAGCUCAACUGUAAAAGUGCCUUCGAAACUGGUUUCCUUGAGUGUGGAUGAAGUAGGCGGAAUUUGUGGUGUAGCGGUGAAAUGCAUAGAUAUCACGAGGAACUCCGAUUGCGCAGGCAGCUUACUAAACCAUAACUGACGCUCAGGCACGAAGGCGUGGGGAUCAAACAGGAUUAGAUACCCCCGUAGU
Molecule: ribosomal RNA, 271 nt
Filed under: uncultured prokaryote
Description: partial 16S ribosomal RNA
Rfam family: Bacterial small subunit ribosomal RNA
Source: RNAcentral